Molecule: ribosomal RNA, 462 nt
Filed under: uncultured bacterium
Lineage: Bacteria
Description: bacterial SSU rRNA
Rfam family: Bacterial small subunit ribosomal RNA
Source: RNAcentral
AGAGUUUGAUCCUGGCUCAGAUUGAACGCUAGCGGGAUGCUUUACACAUGCAAGUCGAACGGCAGCACGAGAGAGCUUGCUCUCUUGGUGGCGAGUGGCGGACGGGUGAGUAAUAUAUCGGAACGUGCCCAGUAGCGGGGGAUAACUACUCGAAAGAGUGGCUAAUACCGCAUACGCCCUACGGGGGAAAGGGGGGGAUUCUUUUAGAACCCCUCACUAUUGGAGCGGCCGAUAUCGGAUUAGCUAGUUGGUGGGGUAAAGGCCCACCAAGGCGACGAUCCGUAGCUGGUUUGAGAGGACGACCAGCCACACUGGGACUGAGACACGGCCCAGACUCCUACGGGAGGCAGCAGUGGGGAAUUUUGGACAAUGGGGGAAACCCUGAUCCAGCCAUGCCGCGUGAGUGAUGAAGGCCCUAGGGUUGUAAAGCUCUUUCAACGGUGAAGAUAAUGACGGUAACCG